UCAAAUCCAAUUAAUAAUUGAACUAGAGCAGUUCAAAAAUUACAAAGAUUGACAGAAAGGUGUUCUUCUUCUUCUUCUCCUCCUCCUCCUCUGCAAACACCUCUACAAGCCACAUCAUUCAACCAAUAUUGAUGAAAUUUUGUAUAUAAGUAUUUCUUGGAGUACUUGAGGUCCCCUGAAGAUUUCAGCUGAAUUGGGUCAAAAUGGAAAGGGGAGAAUGGAUGUCAGUUUUCUAUAUAUACCUCUAUAUAUCAUAUUGUUUAAUUACUUUUGACAACAAAUUUUGAAUAUAGGAAUAUCAUAGUGUAAUUAAUAUCACCUGAAAAUUCUAGUCCAACUGAGCUAAAAUUAAAAGGUGUAAAAGAAAACGAUUCUCUCUUCUAGAAAUGUGUUUAUGGUCACAUUGUUCAACUAAGUUUGAACAAAUUCAGAAUUUAAGUGUUACUUAUGUUAAUUAAGGCUUCCUAAAAAAUGCAGCCUAUUUGAGCCAAAAUGAAGGGUGCAAGAGGUCCUGUCAUUCUGAACUCUUCUACAUGUCAUAUCUCUCAACCAAUUUUGAUUAAAUUUGAUUUAUAUGUAUGUUUAUCAUCACUUAAAAAAUAAGUGAUAUCUUAUCAAAAAUAUCUAAUAUAUAAAAGAGUAUAGCACUAAGAAAUUAGGAUUUUGUUAUAAUUUAAAUGCUGCUACUUAGUUGACAUUUUAAGAAAAUAAAAUAAUAAUGCAG
RNAcentral lists this long non-coding RNA (724 nucleotides) under Androctonus crassicauda. Lineage: Eukaryota; Metazoa; Arthropoda; Arachnida; Scorpiones; Buthidae. The record is from RNAcentral.